This is a long non-coding RNA of Pimephales promelas (fathead minnow), 553 nucleotides long. RefSeq lists it as uncharacterized. The record is from RefSeq and is a predicted model, not a curated record. Lineage: Eukaryota; Metazoa; Chordata; Actinopteri; Cypriniformes; Leuciscidae.
CGCACGACCACUGACUAUAUAAUGCGUGGUCGCCUGCUCGCUCUUCCCAGUUCCUUCUUCUUUCUGCAGGUAUGUGGGCUGUUGGGAAAUUGAGCUUUGUUCCAUCGCAUACUCAGAUCUUGACCAUGCUAAAACCUAAUGGAUAACCUCCAUUCCCCAGGCUUUGUUUCAUGAGUCCUACACACUCUCAAACGGAUCAUGCUUGGACCAAAUGGAUAACCUUUUGAUCUGGCUUAAUUUCUUAAGUCCUACACACUCUCAAACAGAUCAUGCUUGGACCAAAUGGAUGAAACCGGUUGAGCUGUCUUAAUUUCACAAGUCCUAUACUCAAACAGCUCAACGUAGGUAAUUCAAGAGGACCUUUACAUGAGUGAACUUUGGAUGGCAACAUGUUGAGGGCUUUGAGAUAUUUGUACCCCGAUGGCCAAUCAGUGCCGAAUCUACAUGGAGAAGUGGGUGAAGUGUGUAAUGGCUCUCUCUGCCAAGCAGCCCACAUUUACCAUUGAGGGAGGAAAAAAAAAAACCUUUUCCCCAAUAAACCGGAACCAUCAGC